UCAAUUACGAUUUCCAUCAUGUAUGUACAACGUUUUUCGUUUUUUUUCACGAAACACCUAUCUAUAUUGUUAUGGUGAUGAAAAAUUGGAGGAUUUUUUACGAUAUGUAACAAUAGCGGAGCAUCCAGCCAAUCUAAUGCUGAACA
Molecule: non-coding RNA, 146 nt
Organism: Dermatophagoides farinae (American house dust mite)
Lineage: Eukaryota; Metazoa; Arthropoda; Arachnida; Sarcoptiformes; Pyroglyphidae
Source: RefSeq, a predicted model, not a curated record